UUUUCUAAUUGACAUGAUGUAAAAUCUUUAGCUAGUUGAUAUUAUGUGUAACCCACGCAUGUACAGGUGGACAAUUCUAGUUAAUUUGGAAGUAAAAAUCAGACAUAGGAGUUUUGAAACCUGAAUUGAAUAAAAGAAGAAAAUACAAUCAUGUAUUAAUAUUAAUUACAUGGGGCUUUGUUGUGAUUGUUUUUGUUUGAAAGUGAAAGUUGUAUAAUGCAGAGAUGUGAUGACGUCUUCAUAUAUAUAAGUGAAAGAGUUUUGAAAUUUUAUUAAGCUAUCCUUUCAAAUUAAGACCUGGUAAUUAUUUCGAUGAAUGUUGAUGCAACACUUAAGAUAUGCAUAAGCUUAAGAUUUGGCAAAGUCAAUGAUUUAAUUAGAUUUAUGCAAGACAGGUCAAGGAACAUAAAUUUUUAUGGAGUCUUUUUCAAUAGCUAUUGUAAAAACUCUUGUAUAACCAUAAAAUAUUUCAAAAGUCUUAAGUUAUAUAUGAAUAGUCAAUUAUAUGUUUUAAAAUAUUGAAUCCAAGGGCAAUAACUCUGUUUUCAUUAAAUUAUUUAUCAAGUCCAUUAUGCGAUAGAUUUCCUUUAUUUUUCACAAACAUUUUGUAUAUCUUUUAAAGAAACUGUUUCAUGAAAUUGUUAUGAACACUAUUACAUGUAUGUUGUUCUAACCAUUUUUUGUGAAAUUUUGAUAUUACUGUUUAAGGAAACUUGCAAUUUUCUGACGUUGAUACAGGUAUAUGUGUGCUAAUUGAUAAAAUUUUUAUUAAUACUGCAACAUACUUAUUUUAUCAUUUUUAUUUGUUACUAAAAUAUAUCAUUUGAAGAAUCAACAAGAAAAUAUAAGGAUGAAACUAUAAUUCUAGAAGGGUGGAAUUACCUUAGUGUUUAUAAACACUAUAUGUAUAUACCAACCCUGUGGUUAGAACCCCUACCCCGGAGAUUUGACAAUUUUGGUAGAGGCCUUCUUGCUCUACAUCACUAUGCAUUUAGUUUUUCUUACACGUGUGCGGUUGUAAAGAAGAAGAUUUUUUGAAAAUUGGUCCAUUUUGGGCAGUUUUUGCCCCGCCCCUAGGGCUCCAGGGGUGCUGGAGUCAUGAAAUUUACAAUUUAUGUCCCCCUUGUCCUUUGCUUCAUACCAAAUUUGAAAAGAAUUGGACUGGUAUAGUUAUCAAGAAGAAGUUAAAAAUGUUCAAUUGUUAAUUAAUACACGACGGACAACGCGCGACAGCGGACGGCAACCAAUAGCCGUGUUUCGAGUUCCUCCGGAACACCCGGGAUUUUUCGUAUUUAGCCACGCCGGUCACGUGAUAUGAGCAAAAUGUUCCACAGGGGUACUUCCGGUUAAUUUUGUUUACACUGGUAACAAAAUUGUUUUUGACAAAAUAUAGAUUUUGCGGCACAAACUGUCGCAAAUCAGAUAAAGGAUAGCAAGGGAUAUAUAUUUACUUGGGAAGAUGUCAAAGUUUACCUUUUCCCACACCCGGGAAAAGCGUUCACGCAGAGGAAACGAUGGCGUCAUUUGUGUAGAAAACCACGACCAGCCGAAAUUGAGUGCGAUUAUUACAUUCCGUGAAAGCUGAACCAACAAAGAAACAUCAUUGUUCUAGCCAGUUUCCUUAUAUUAACUUUUAGGAAAACCAAGAGGUUUGUACUGACUCUUAAAAAUAUAAUAUAGACUGUGCAAAAUCUUGUCAAUCUUAAGAAUAGGUAUACUUGUACCCUCAUCCACAUCUGAGCAGUGUAUGUAUUUUACAACGGUGUUCAUGUGACAUUAAAUAGAGAAUUUCAAUUAUGAACUUAUGGUUCAGGCUCAUAAAAAUUACGAAGCAAUUUCACAAGGGAGUGAGAGGGGGGGGGGUAUAUAUAUCUGCCAAUUAAAUAAAAUAUGAGAACACCAGAUAAUAUAUCCCUACGGAUCUAUACUAGAAUUUGCAUGAUCAUUUAUUCAAGCUCCAUACCGAUGGUUCAUUCACUGCAAAAUUUUGAAUUAUAUCAAAGAACAUUGAUCUUUUCUCCAACUUUUAAUACAAAUCAAGCACAGGCAAUAUGCAUCGCUUGGGGUACUCUUUAAUAGUAAAUUCGAACACAAGUGAUGCUUAUUGCCUGUGCAAUCAAGGUACUUUGCAUGUACAUGUACAUCAGAUAUGUACAUUUCCACUCAAACCACUUAUAUACAAGAAUGGAACCAGCUGAACAUGAGCCAGGUUAUAUAUUAUGUAUUUGCUCUCCUACCCCUUUGAUUCAGUACUGUGUAAGGAAAUAUACUAUUGAGUAUAUAUAUAUUUUAAAAAGAAUAACAAAGAACAACAAUUUUCAUUCAUAUUUCAUUCAACAUAUAUAUACACAGAUUGAUAACAAUGGCUGAUCUGCAUAUAAUGACUGCUAGUUAUUGGCUGGUAUGCAGUGAAAGGGAGCUAAAAAGGAGUAAAAAGUUCAUAUCAGCCAGGUAGUGUGGCUUAAAUAAACCAGUGUUAAGGAAUAUCCAGUAAUGGCAUGACAUCAUGAGAGUUUGGCAUACCGACAUUCAGAUGAUUAAUGAUGAAACUGAAGACCUCAGGUGAAAGGCAUGGAAAAUGAUCCUGUUCCCAUAUACCUGAAAAAGAGGAGGGAUGCCACAAUAUUGAUAAUAGACUUUUGUCAAUUUGAGAAGCAAAGAUGUAAAAAAAACAAAAAUAAUAAUGCUGAAAUUAUAAUUCAUGUAUUUGUUAAAAAUACUGUUCACUGUACAUACAUGUAUAUUUUUUUUUAACUUAUUUGGAAAUACAUGAAGUAAUUCAUAUUAAAACUGUGAAUGUAUGA
This is a long non-coding RNA of Ostrea edulis (European flat oyster), 2804 nucleotides long. RefSeq lists it as uncharacterized. The transcript has 2 exons. The record is from RefSeq and is a predicted model, not a curated record. Lineage: Eukaryota; Metazoa; Mollusca; Bivalvia; Ostreida; Ostreidae.